Podarcis raffonei (Aeolian wall lizard) is the source of this 1078-nucleotide long non-coding RNA. RefSeq lists it as uncharacterized. NCBI's taxonomy places the organism in Eukaryota, Metazoa, Chordata, Lepidosauria, Squamata, Lacertidae. The transcript is spliced from 3 exons. The record is from RefSeq and is a predicted model, not a curated record.
CUUUAAGAAGCAGCAGCAUCUACUCAACCAAUCAUAUUUCUUCUCUCUUUUCUCUAUGAUGUCAUUCUUACACAACAAUGCUGGUUGGUAAAUGAGGUCAUCACAGUAACUUUGAAUCUACGCAUUUCUAGCUGACAGUUGGAGCUGGAAGAAGGCCACACACAGCUGACCUCAAUGUUAUGUCUGCUCGUCAGCCUCCAUCUCCAUAAGAUGCAAUAGACUGACAGGUGGAUUUAAACACAGAGAAAGCCAAGCAACCACUGAAGAAAGGUAGGAAAUUGCCUAGUCUAUUAAAGAACAGUAAUCGAUUGUUCAUCACACGCUAGUUGACACAGGUUGGACCACGGAGUUUGGACCUUGUGUUGAAAACGUGUUAAAAGAAUAGCACCUCGGAACCAGAUUGUAGAAAUUCUGAUGUCACUUCUGCAUCUGGCAACUGGAGGCAAGACACAUUUGUAUACAGUGGUACCUUGGCUCUCAAAACGCCUUGGUACUCAAACACCUUGGUUCCCAAGCGCCGAAAACCCAGAAGUAAGUGUUAUGGUUUUCGAAUGUUUUUUGGAAGCUGAAUGUCCGAUGCGGCUGUCGGCUAUUGUUUCCAGGGCGCCUGCACCAAUCAGAAGCUGUGCCUUGGUUUUUGAACAUUUCAGAAGUCAAGCAGACUUCCGGAAUGGAUUAAGCUUGGUGCUUUUGUUUUUGCUAUUUAUUUUGCAUUUCUGUUUUUGAGGCUUUUUCAGUUACCAUAAUUUGCUUUUGUGACUGUGUGGAACCCAGUUCAGCUACUUAUUGAUUGAUUGUGUGACUGUGGAAAUGGAUAAAAGCCCCCCAUCCAAACAAUGACUAUCAACAGUGCAGGUAAGAAUUUUUUAUUUUAUUUUUAUCAUCCACAAUACUGUCUUAUUUAUUUUAUAGUACAGUAAAUUGAUUAUUGCUUUUAUUUUAGGGAUUAAUGGUCUCGUUAGAUAGUAAAAAUCAUCCUCCAUUGCUUUCCUAUAUCUUGCUUUUUAUUGCCCCCUGACUUCCCCUGAGUCUUGAAACCGUAGAGAUCACACACACCAGAGGCUCUGGGCACUGUUCU